GGGGGCCCGCAAGCGGUGGAGCAUGUGGUUCAAUUCGACGCAACGCGAAGAACCUUACCUGGGCUCGAAGCGCAGUGGACCGGGGUGGAAACAUCCCUUUUCGCAAGAACUGCUGCGGAGGUGCUGCAUGGCUGUCGUCAGCUCGUGUCGUGAGAUGUUGGGUUAAGUCCCGCAACGAGCGCAACCCUUAUCCCUAGUUGCCAUCAGGUCAAGCUGGGCACUCUAGUGAAACUGCCUCGGAUAACGAGGAGGAAGGUGGGGAUGACGUCAAGUCCUCAUGGCCUUUAUGUCCAGGGCUACACACGUGCUACAAUGGUCGGUACAAACCGUCGCAAACCCGUGAGGGGGAGCUAAUCGGAAAAAGCCGGCCUCAGUUCGGAUUGGAGUCUGCAACUCGACUCCAUGAAGCUGGAAUCGCUAGUAAUCGCGGAUCAGAACGCCGCGGUGAAUACGUUCCCGGGCCUUGUACACACC
RNAcentral lists this ribosomal RNA (474 nucleotides) under uncultured bacterium. Its description in RNAcentral is "bacterial SSU rRNA". It matches the Rfam family "Bacterial small subunit ribosomal RNA", at positions 915 to 1391 of the family's 1533-position model. The record is from RNAcentral.